AAGCACUUUAUACUGUGAAACUGCGAAUGGCUCAUUAAAUCAGUUAUCGUUUAUUUGAUAGUACCUUACUACAUGGAUACCUGUGGUAAUUCUAGAGCUAAUACAUGCUAAAAACCCCGACUUCAGGAAGGGGUGUAUUUAUUAGAUAAAAAACCAACGCCCUUCGGGGCUCCUUGGUGAAUCAUAAUAACUUAACGAAUCGCAUGGCCUUGCGCCGGCGAUGGUUCAUUCAAAUUUCUGCCCUAUCAACUUUCGAUGGUAGGAUAGUGGCCUACCAUGGUGGCAACGGGUAACGGGGAAUUAGGGUUCGAUUCCGGAGAGGGAGCCUGAGAAACGGCUACCACAUCCAAGGAAGGCAGCAGGCGCGCAAAUUACCCAAUCCCGAUACGGGGAGGUAGUGACAAUAAAUACUGAUACGGGGCUCUUUUGGGUCUCGUAAUUGGAAUGAGAACAAUUUAAAUCCCUUAACGAGGAACAAUUGGAGGGCAAGUCUGGUGCCAGCAGCCGCGGUAAUUCCAGCUCCAAUAGCGUAUAUUAAAGUUGUUGCAGUUAAAAAGCUCGUAGUUGAACCUUGGGUCUGGCUGGCCGGUCCGCCUCACCGCGAGUACUGUCCGGCUGGACCUUUCCUUCUGGGGAACCUCAUGGCCUUCACUGGCUGUGGGGGGAACCAGGACUUUUACUGUGAAAAAAUUAGAGUGUUCAAAGCAGGCCUUUGCUCGAAUACAUUAGCAUGGAAUAAUAGAAUAGGACGUGCGGUUCUAUUUUGUUGGUUUCUAGGACCGCCGUAAUGAUUAAUAGGGAUAGUCGGGGGCGUCAGUAUUCAGCUGUCAGAGGUGAAAUUCUUGGAUUUGCUGAAGACUAACUACUGCGAAAGCAUUCGCCAAGGAUGUUUUCAUUAAUCAGGGAACGAAAGUUAGGGGAUCGAAGACGAUCAGAUACCGUCGUAGUCUUAACCAUAAACUAUGCCGACUAGGGAUCGGACGGGAUUCUAUGAUGACCCGUUCGGCACCUUACGAGAAAUCAAAGUUUUUGGGUUCUGGGGGGAGUAUGGUCGCAAGGCUGAAACUUAAAGAAAUUGACGGAAGGGCACCACAAGGCGUGGAGCCUGCGGCUUAAUUUGACUCACCCCGGGA
Molecule: ribosomal RNA, 1133 nt
Filed under: Penicillium sp.
Lineage: Eukaryota; Fungi; Ascomycota; Eurotiomycetes; Eurotiales; Aspergillaceae
Also listed under: 1 other name
Description: SSU rRNA
Rfam family: Eukaryotic small subunit ribosomal RNA
Source: RNAcentral